Long non-coding RNA from Ctenopharyngodon idella (grass carp), 2568 nucleotides. RefSeq lists it as uncharacterized. The record is from RefSeq and is a predicted model, not a curated record. The transcript is spliced from 2 exons. NCBI's taxonomy places the organism in Eukaryota, Metazoa, Chordata, Actinopteri, Cypriniformes, Xenocyprididae.
GUAAGAUGCAAAAGUUUAUCAGCAAUGAGACAGGAUGGCUGAUUAGUUGAUUGGUAAAGCUGACUAGUUGGUUUUUGUCAGGUUUAUGUGAGGGGUGUUCAAAACCUGCAAAACCUACAGUAUCUUGCAGAGUUUAGCUCCAACCCCAAUUAAACACACUUGACACACUUGAACCAGCUAAUCAAGGCAGAUGUGUGGAGGCAAGUUGGAGCUAAACUCUGCAGGACAGUGGCCCUCCAGGAGCAGGUUUGGACACCCCUAGUUUAUGUAGAAUUUUAGUCAUUAGGGUUAGUCAUUAAUUACUCACCCUCAUGUUGUUCCAAACCCGUAAGUCUUUCGUUCAUCUUCGGAGCACAAAAGAAGAUCUUUUUGAUGAAAUAUGAGAACGCUCUGUCCCUCCAUAGACAGCUACACAACUGACACUUUGACGCUUCAAAAAGUUCAUAAAGAGAUUGUAAAACUAACCCAUAUGAAUUGAGUGGUUUAGUCCAAAUUUUCUGAAGAGACUUGAGCUUCCGCAAGAACCAAUGAGGUUCAUUCUCAUGUUACGCAGCACGUUUGAGCUUCCUCAAGAACCAUGAGGUUCAUUCUCAUGUUACGCAGCACGUUUAAGCUUCCUCAAGAACCAAUGAGGUUCAUUCUCGUGUUACGCAGAACGUUUGUGCUUCCUCAAGAACCAAUGAGGUUCAUUCUUGUGUUACGCAGCACGUUUGAGCUUCCUCAAGAACCAAUGAGGUUCAUUCUUGUGUUACGCGGCACGUUUGAGCUUCCUCAAGAACCAAUGAGGUUCAUUCUCAUGUUACGUGGCACGUUUGAGCUUCCUCAUGUUGUAUUAUAUCAAGAAAAUGCAAUUACCCUGCCUCCUUGUUUAGAUUUUGGAAGUCUGUUGCUACACAUUUGGCCAAUGUAUUAAAAAUUAGGCAUUGCUUACAAUAUUAUUAUUAUUUAUUUUUGUUUGUUUCUAAGAAAUGUAUUAUACUGUAUGGCCAGAGAUGUACAGUUAUUGUUGGAUAUGUGUGUUGUUCUAUGUGUGUGCGCUCAAGGACACAGAGAACUGUGGUUCUACUCCUAGAACCUUAUAACGACAUCAGCCAUCUUGGCUGAGUUUACUGGAGUUCAAGGACACAAAAGCCAGACAGCUUGCACCUGCGAGGCCUUGAGAAGGAUCUGGAAACUUUAGGAAAGUUACAACGUACGUCAAUCAAGAAGAUAACCAAACGUCUGCAAUAAACAACAGGAGUAUAAAAGACUGAUGAGUUGAUUGCCUCUUCGGAUACUGAUACGUCAGUACCCCCGACACCUAGAAGCCCAGAGCUGAGGACAAGAAACCCCAAGCUGAAGAUGGGAAGCCCAGAGCUGACUACACCUUUGACUCACAAGAGUGAUUACUGUAUAUUAUACCUUAAUGAUGAAGUUUUAUUUGCCUUUACAUUUUUGUUUAUUAUAAAAAAAAAAAAGUAACCAAUUAAAAGAAAUUUAAUUGAUUACAAAAGCUGCCUACCUUGGCUUGAUUUUGUAGUGUUUUAAGACUUUGAACAAGAAUGUGCCACAGAGGAGUCUUCUGACCAAAUUGUAAGUAAUUUUAAAUGCUUAUAAUUUAGGCCAGACUCAACUUACUUUACCUAACCUGAGAAUAAUAAAUAAUAAGGUUAAAGGUGUUAAGAUCAAAAUACACACCGAAAAACAUGGCGCCCAACGUGGGGCAUUGAUCCAUCAACCCCUGGCCACGGUCGAUCGAGCAAUGCUUUCCCAUUCGCUUCCGCACUCGUGCGCUUGAGUUUUAGAUGUAAAAACUUGGGAAGCUAGUGAAUCACCAGGUAACCUGUAAGACCCAAAAUGUAAAUAAUCUAGAGGGAUUAUUUAUAGACGGCCCAGAAAGGGUUGAACGCGUGUAGAACAGAUAACUUUACGAGCCAGGGAGCCGUAAAGGUUAAGAAAGCUGUAGGAGAGACAGAAAGUCUCACAUGGCUAGCCUCAGAGAAUGAGAGGCAGAGACGAGCUAAAGAUAAGACCUGUUAGUGAAGGACGCUUUGCUCAUGGCAGGGAGAGCCCAGCAAAAAUCCAGCAAUGUGUUUAGGCUCAUCCAUGAGAAAGAAAAAUUAGCCUUUCGAGCAGACACACCGGUUCUAGAAAUGGAACGUGGCUCCUGUGACAGACCAAAAUGGUCAAAACUUAAAGACUGAGGUAGGUCUAGCAGCUAUACAAGAAGAAAAAGUGGAAAUGGGGAAAAUGUGUACCUGUGAUAAAAUUACAGUAUAAGGCUCAUAGAAAAGGAAAAUGUGAUAGGUACUGUUGAUACAUAAAGCUAAAGAAAAUGUUUUACAUUCUUAUAGGUGUGGUAGAGUGCCAAAAAGAAUACUAUCAGAACGCUAGAGGCUAAAAGACUGGAAAACAAUAGUUGUGAUAACUGAUAACUUUUCUUUUAAUAGAAAGUUAAAGAAUAGUUAAAAAGGAGUAAUAAUAUUGUAGUAUUGAAAGAAUAUAAUUUGAAUUUCCAGACAAUGAAGAUAAUGGAAGAUAGACUGUUAACAAUAAACUUAUUAAAAAAAAAAAAAAACACAACAACAA